RNAcentral lists this non-coding RNA (83 nucleotides) under Oxyrrhis marina. Lineage: Eukaryota; Dinophyceae; Oxyrrhinales; Oxyrrhinaceae. The record is from RNAcentral.
UUCUAUUAUUUCUUUUUUAUUUCUUCUAAUUACAUACUUAGUCGUAUAAUAACAAGAAGAAAAAUGAGGCAACUCCAGUUGUU